Amblyraja radiata (thorny skate) is the source of this 179-nucleotide long non-coding RNA. RefSeq lists it as uncharacterized. NCBI's taxonomy places the organism in Eukaryota, Metazoa, Chordata, Chondrichthyes, Rajiformes, Rajidae. The record is from RefSeq and is a predicted model, not a curated record. The transcript has 3 exons.
AUGGAAGGGUCCACCAGAUUGACACAGAUGUGCAGCUGAGCGUGGCCAAUGAGAUAAGGGGCUGAAAAGCUGCGCUUUUUAAAAAUGUAUAUAUUGCCACCGCUAGUGUCGAGUUCUCGGCUUAAAACAGUAUUAUUCUGAAAUGGGGGGCAAGGAAAAUUACUGAAGUGUUGGUUUAG